GUUUUGUAUGUUUUAGAGUAUAUUACAUGUUUCAAUUGCAUUUAUAUUAAGUUUUGCAUCUGGUGAUGAUUAGAAAUAUGAAUUAGGAAUGAAUUGAACUUGCUGUGAUUUGGUAUAGUAAGUGGACAUUUACCCAUUCUAGGUUCUGAUUUGGAACUUAAAUAUCAUACAGUGGGUAUGACUUUCCAGGAUGUCUUCCUGAGUGGUAAAUGAUUGCUUCUCUACACUAAAUUUGGCACUUUUUAUUCUAAUUCAUGAUUCCAAUCAACCAAUCUGUUUCUACUCAUUAGUUUAGGAAUAUCUCUUAACUGUAAAUGCAUUCUUUUAGACUUAGGUUUUUCUUCCGUUUUACACUUCUGUUUCAAAGAUUUUCUUUCCUUGUUGUUAGCAUUUGAGUUAUGUGUAGAUGGUACCAUAUAUGUUCUAUUUCAGUUGUAGGUAGUUAUAGUAAUUAGGUUUUAUUUCUGUUUUGAGUAGUUUAGACUGUUAUUUCCUUUUCUUUUAUUGUAUUUCAAUUUCUUUAUUCUUUUAACCAGAUUUUAGUUUAGUCUAGUUCCAAUUCUUUUAUUUUGUUUAGUUUUAUUCAUUUUAAUUGUCCCCACCGAGUUUAAUAGUAAAUACAUAGUUAAUAAAUACAAGACUUAACCUUACACUUUAAUCUUAAUUAGCUGGGUCCUAGGAUUGAUAUUCUGGUUGUCCUAUGCUACAUUAGUGGGGACCAGUUCUUUGUUCUGCCUUUGGUGACUAAAAGGCAGUUUAACACUUCCCUAUCCAGAAUUUCUGAAACGAAGGGAAGAAGGGAGGUGUUUUAGAUGUGGGGGACCUUUCAGGCCAGGGCACCAAUGCCCUGAGAGGAGUUUACUAAUAGUGUUAUUGGCUGAGGAUGAAGAGGAGGACGUAGAAAAAGAGAUGGUAAAAGUGGAGCGAAUGGAGCUCUCGGCCUUCUCAGCUAGCGGAAUAGGAUAACGUUGCAUGAGUAGUUUCAUAGUUUCCGUUCAACCUUGGGGACAAGGUUGAUCUUCAAGAGGGGAGUAAUGUUAGGACUUAGAGAGUAUAAGAAAAGAGAAAAAUAAUAGAGAAAUAAGAAAGAAUACUUAACUGCUGAGCAGUUAAGGGGGGCGGGACAAGUGUCUAUAUAAGAGACCUCUUUUGUAGUUUUAGGGGAGUGAGUAGUCUUGUAUGUGUAGACUGGUCUAGUACCUGGUGAAGGAGGUUAAGCUUCUGUUUUCUCUUUGUAUUCUUGAUUCUUUUGUUGUGAAUACAAUACAAUUCUUUACCCAAAUUCUUGUUUGCAAAUACUGAAGUGAGUGAGAGAGAGAGUUAGGAUUCUUACCUAGAUUCCUAACACUUUCAGCAUGAGCAUUAUGGUGACUGGGGUUCGAUGCAAUGUUUGGGACAAAUGACAGGGGG
RNAcentral lists this long non-coding RNA (1410 nucleotides) under Vigna radiata. RNAcentral's name for it is "long non-coding RNA (VRAD_LNC006963)". The record is from RNAcentral. Lineage: Eukaryota; Viridiplantae; Streptophyta; Magnoliopsida; Fabales; Fabaceae.